AGCCAAGUCGCGUGAGGGAUGAAGGUUCUAUGGAUCGUAAACCUCUUUUAUAAGGGAAUAAAGUGUGGGACGUGUCCUAUUUUGUAUGUACCUUAUGAAUAAGGAUCGGCUAACUCCGUGCCAGCAGCCGCGGUAAUACGGAGGAUCCGAGCGUUAUCCGGAUUUAUUGGGUUUAAAGGGUGCGUAGGCGGCCUUUUAAGUCAGCGGUGAAAGUCUGUGGCUCAACCAUAGAAUUGCCGUUGAAACUGGGGGGCUUGAGUAUGUUUGAGGCAGGCGGAAUGCGUGGUGUAGCGGUGAAAUGCUUAGAUAUCACGCAGAACCCCGAUUGCGAAGGCAGCCUGCCAAGCCAUGACUGACGCUGAUGCACGAAAGCGUGGGGAUCAAACAGGAUUAGAUACCCUGGUAGUCCACG
Molecule: ribosomal RNA, 412 nt
Filed under: uncultured bacterium
Lineage: Bacteria
Description: bacterial SSU rRNA
Rfam family: Bacterial small subunit ribosomal RNA
Source: RNAcentral